Molecule: transfer RNA, 16 nt
Filed under: Codonopsis inflata
Lineage: Eukaryota; Viridiplantae; Streptophyta; Magnoliopsida; Asterales; Campanulaceae
Description: partial tRNA-Leu
Source: RNAcentral
AUCCGUCGAUUUUAGA